Molecule: ribosomal RNA, 237 nt
Filed under: uncultured Staphylococcus sp.
Lineage: Bacteria; Bacillati; Bacillota; Bacilli; Caryophanales; Staphylococcaceae
Description: partial 16S ribosomal RNA
Rfam family: Bacterial small subunit ribosomal RNA
Source: RNAcentral
CGGGUGAGUAACGCGUGGAUAACCUACCUAUAAGACUGGGAUAACUUCGGGAAACCGGAGCUAAUACCGGAUAAUAUAUUGAACUGCAUGGUUCAAUAGUGAAAGACGGUUUUGCUGUCACUUAUAGAUGGAUCCGCGCCGCAUUAGCUAGUUGGUAAGGUAACGGCUUACCGAGGCAACGAUGCGUAGCCGACCUGAGAGGGUGAUCGGCCACACUUGAACUGAGACACGGUCCAG